UACGGAGGGUCCGAGCGUUAAUCGGAAUUACUGGGCGUAAAGCGCGCGUAGGUGGUUCAGUCAGUCAGAUGUGAAAGCCCCGGGCUCAACCUGGGAACUGCACCUGAUACUGCUGAGCUAGAGUACGGUAGAGGGCAGUGGAAUUUCCGGUGUAGCGGUGAAAUGCGUAGAGAUCGGAAGGAACACCAGUGGCGAAGGCGACUGCCUGGACUGAUACUGACACUGAGGUGCGAAAGCGUGGGUAGCAAACAGGAUUAGAUACCCUGGUAGUCCACGCCGUAAACGAUGUCAACUAGCCGUUGGAGGACUUGAUCCUUUAGUGGCGAAGCUAACGCGAUAAGUUGACCGCCUGGGGAGUACGGCCGCAAGGUUAAA
This 375-nucleotide ribosomal RNA is filed under the name uncultured bacterium. RNAcentral describes it as "bacterial SSU rRNA". It matches the Rfam family "Bacterial small subunit ribosomal RNA", at positions 524 to 898 of the family's 1533-position model. The record is from RNAcentral.